RNAcentral lists this ribosomal RNA (1084 nucleotides) under uncultured bacterium. RNAcentral's name for it is "bacterial SSU rRNA". It matches the Rfam family "Bacterial small subunit ribosomal RNA", at positions 56 to 1132 of the family's 1533-position model. The record is from RNAcentral.
UGCAGUCGACGAAUCCCUUGUAGCAAUAUGAGGGGGAAGUGGCGAAAGGGGCAGUAAGGCAUGGGUAACCUACCUCGGGGACUGGGAUAGCCUUCCUAACGGAAGGGUAAUACCGGGCGAUGUAGCGUGGAGACAUCUCCGUACUACGAAAUGAAUUUCGCCUCGAGAGGGGCCCAUGUAGUAUUAGCUAGUUGGUGAGGUAACGGCUCACCAAGGCCAAGAUGCUUAGCGGGUGUGAGAGCACGACCCGCGCCACUGGCACUGUGACACUGGCCAGACUCCUACGGGAGGCUGCAGUCGAGGAUCUUCGGCAAUGGGCGCAAGCCUGACCGAGCGACGCCGCGUGUGCGAUGAAGGCCUUCGGGUUGUAAAGCACUGUCGAGGGGGAUAAAGGCGCAAGCUUGAUAGAUCCCUGGAGGAAGCACGGGCUAAGUUCGUGCCAGCAGCCGCGGUAAGACGAACCGUGCGAACGUUGUUCGGAAUCACUGGGCUUAAAGGGUGCGUAGGCGGGGUGGCAAGUCUGUGGUGAAAUCCUCCGGCUCAACCGGAGAACUGCCGUGGAUACUGCUACUCUCGAGGGGUGUAGGGGCAUGUGGAACUCAGGGUGGAGCGGUGAAAUGCGUAGAUAUCCUGAGGAACGCCGGUGGCGAAAGCGACGUGCUGGACACCUUCUGACGCUGAGGCACGAAAGCCAGGGGAGCGAACGGGAUUAGAUACCCCGGUAGUCCUGGCCCUAAACGAUGGGUACUAGAUUGUGGGCUGGACAUGGGCCACAGUCGAAGCAAAAGUGAUAAGUACCCCGCCUGGGGAGUAUGGUCGCAAGGCUGAAACUCAAAGGAAUUGACGGGGGCUCACACAAGCGGUGGAGCGUGUGGCUUAAUUCGAGGCUACGCGAAGAACCUUAUCCUGGGCUUGACAUGUGCGAAAGCGGUAGGAAGUACCCUGCGGAAACGUAAGGGGAACGGUAUCCAGUCCGGAACCUACUACAGGUGCUGCAUGGCUGUCGUCAGCUCGUGUCGUGAGAUGUUGGGUUAAGUCCCGUAACGAGCGAAACCCUUGUCUCCAGUUGCCAGCGGGUAAUGCC